RNAcentral lists this long non-coding RNA (272 nucleotides) under Phoenix dactylifera (date palm). RNAcentral's name for it is "long non-coding RNA (PDAC_LNC020172)". The record is from RNAcentral. Lineage: Eukaryota; Viridiplantae; Streptophyta; Magnoliopsida; Arecales; Arecaceae.
GGGAAGGAGGCAGUCCUUCUCCGGGAACUUCCCCGCCGUCAGCGACGCCAGCACGCAACCAAAAUUUAUGCCCAAUAUUUCCAUUUCCAUCGCUCUCUCUUUCUCUUCUCCGUUCGCUUUUGCCUCUCCGGCGAGACCGAGGAAGGAAGGAGGGUUGGUUAUGGCGUUGCAGCGGGGUUUUUGGGAAUAAAGUUGCUUGUAUAUUUUAUUUUAUAAAAACUGUGUGAUUUUUUUUUCAGUGCAUCAGGGACCGUCCAGAGGAUUGAUUUUAG